This is a long non-coding RNA of Carlito syrichta (Philippine tarsier), 771 nucleotides long. RefSeq lists it as uncharacterized. The transcript has 2 exons. The record is from RefSeq and is a predicted model, not a curated record. NCBI's taxonomy places the organism in Eukaryota, Metazoa, Chordata, Mammalia, Primates, Tarsiidae.
AAGACGCUGACGUCACCUUUUUUCUUGUAUCCUUGGGGAUACUGUGUUUUCUUCUAGGCCCUUCACUACAGUUCUGUGCUGAUUCCUUUACAAAACCAGUGUUACCCACCCUCUUACAGGCCUCCUUCCAUGUGUGUGAAUGAAGAAGCUGUUGCUUCUAGAAGCAAGUGUGUGUCCUAAGCCAGUGGACACUUAGCUCAAGAAGAAAGCUCAGGACUCCCAGCUCUGCCUAAGCAUUACAGUCUUUCCUCCCAGACAGUCCAAGGUCUUGUUGCUGGACCAGCCCUCACCGUCCCAGGCCUUUGGAGUCCCCAUCGCCACAGGAGGCUCAAGCACAGCUAGCAGGUGCGGUUGAAGGAAGGCCCUGCCACCCAGAUCAGCCCCUUCUCAGAGCAGCUGUGAGUGACACCAGGACUCGCGGUCAGCGAGGGGAACUACCCACAGAAAGAGAUGCUGGGGCAGUUGCGGAGAACGGGUCCCUCCUUCGGGGCAAAGGAAGCCAGCUGACUAGGAGACCUCAGCUUGGUCUGCUUAAGCAGAGAUGUGCUGGAUGCAGAAAGACACCUUGGCGAGAAGAAAACCAAGUCGCAGGCGGGCGAUCAGGGGGGUCUGAUGAAGUGUCUCCCAGGGGGACGUCACACACGCUUCCUGGAAGCCGUCUGCUGGAACAGCGAGUAGUGUUGGUGAGAUGCCAAACUCUGCUUCUUGGAACACUUUAAUGUUUUAAAAUGUGUGUAUCACAUUUUGUUUGUAAAGAUGUAUUGAUCUGUA